GCUGGGAUAGCUCAGUUGGUAGAGCAACGCAUUCGUAAUGCGUGGGUCGCAGGUUCGAUUCCUGUUUCCAGCACCA
This 76-nucleotide transfer RNA is filed under the name Pseudobdellovibrionaceae bacterium. RNAcentral describes it as "Bdellovibrionaceae bacterium (activated sludge metagenome) tRNA-Thr". It matches the Rfam family "tRNA". From Rfam's summary of the family: Transfer RNA (tRNA) molecules are approximately 80 nucleotides in length. Their secondary structure includes four short double-helical elements and three loops (D, anti-codon, and T loops). Further hydrogen bonds mediate the characteristic L-shaped molecular structure. tRNAs have two regions of fundamental functional importance: the anti-codon, which is responsible for specific mRNA codon recognition, and the 3' end, to which the tRNAs corresponding amino acid is attached (by aminoacyl-tRNA synthetases). tRNAs cope with the degeneracy of the genetic code in two manners: having more than one tRNA (with a specific anti-codon) for a particular amino acid; and 'wobble' base-pairing, i.e. permitting non-standard base-pairing at the 3rd anti-codon position. The record is from RNAcentral. Lineage: Bacteria; Pseudomonadati; Bdellovibrionota; Bdellovibrionia; Bdellovibrionales; Pseudobdellovibrionaceae.